AUGCAUCGUCGGAAAUCUGUCCCUGCAUCUGGGACUGCACUGCCAGCCUGUGUCACUGCUCAAACUGGAUUAAAUCAUACAGCAUUGGCAGAACAACAGUGCAACACCUACAAAAAAAGAAAAAAAAAAGUCCUUGAAAUUCGUCAUGGCUGUCAGGGGCCCAAACUCAAGAAAUCUGUGCCAAUCAUGAAAACUGUGAGGGUUUUUGGCAGAAAGAAGAGACGACUGAAUUCAGAGCCGCUGAAAUUAUUUCAUUUGAGUUAAUGCAUGUUAUGUGUCCCUGGACAACACAUCCAUUUAAAAUGGUAAGUUGUUGUUGUUGUUGUUGUUUUAAAUAGAGAUGUAAACAUCACCGAAAGCUGAAUAAAUAAGCU
Molecule: long non-coding RNA, 374 nt
Filed under: Danio rerio (zebrafish)
Lineage: Eukaryota; Metazoa; Chordata; Actinopteri; Cypriniformes; Danionidae
Description: lncRNA (ENSDARG00000117680.1)
Source: RNAcentral